AUCUUGUACAAUGGGGGCAACCCUGAUGCAGCGACGCCGCGUGAGCGAUGAAGCCCUUCGGGGCGUAAAGCUCUUUCGGCCGGAACGAUAAUGACGGUACCGGGAGAAGAAGCUGCGGCUAACUACGUGCCAGCAGCCGCGGUAAUACGUAGGCAGCAAGCGUUGUUCGGAGUUACUGGGCGUAACGAGUGCGUAGGCGGUUUUCUAAGUUCGGUGUGAAAUCUCCCGGCUUAACUGGGAGGGUGCGCCGAAGACUGGGAAGCUGGAGUGUGGGAAAGGCAGGCGGAAUUCCUGGUGUAGCGGUGAAAUGCGUAGAUAUCAGGAGGAACACCGGCGGUGUAGACGGCUUGCU
Molecule: ribosomal RNA, 352 nt
Filed under: uncultured bacterium
Lineage: Bacteria
Description: bacterial SSU rRNA
Rfam family: Bacterial small subunit ribosomal RNA
Source: RNAcentral